AUGAACGCUGGCGACAGGCCUAACACAUGCAAGUCGAGGGGCAGCACAAGGAGCAAUCUGAGGUGGCGACCGGCGCACGGGUGAGUAACACGUAUGCAACCUGCCUGUAAGCGGGGAAUAACCCGUUGAAAGACGGACUAAUACCGCAUAAUACUAAAUUACUGCAUGGUAAUUUAUUUAAACAUUUAUGGCUUACAGAUGGGCAUGCGCAUGAUUAGCUAGUUGGAGAGGUAACGGCUCCCCAAGGCAACGAUCAUUAGGGGUUCUGAGAGGAAGGUCCCCCACACUGGUACUGAGACACGGACCAGACUCCUACGGGAGGCAGCAGUGAGGAAUAUUGGUCAAUGGACGAGAGUCUGAACCAGCCAAGUCGCGUGCAGGAAGAAUGUUCCCUAUGGAUUGUAAACUGCUUUUGCAGGGGAAUAAAGUGCAUCACGUGUGAUGUUUUGUAUGUACUCUGCGAAUAAGGAUCGGCUAACUCCGUGCCAGCCGCCGC
RNAcentral lists this ribosomal RNA (496 nucleotides) under uncultured bacterium. RNAcentral describes it as "bacterial SSU rRNA". It matches the Rfam family "Bacterial small subunit ribosomal RNA", at positions 29 to 518 of the family's 1533-position model. The record is from RNAcentral.